This is a regulatory RNA element of Enterobacter cloacae, 38 nucleotides long. It matches the Rfam family "JUMPstart RNA". The record is from Rfam. NCBI's taxonomy places the organism in Bacteria, Pseudomonadati, Pseudomonadota, Gammaproteobacteria, Enterobacterales, Enterobacteriaceae.
UGGCGCUCUGGUAGCUGUAGGCCAGGGGCGGUAGCGUU